Molecule: small nuclear RNA, 105 nt
Organism: Erinaceus europaeus (western European hedgehog)
Lineage: Eukaryota; Metazoa; Chordata; Mammalia; Eulipotyphla; Erinaceidae
Source: Ensembl
GUGCUCAUCUUUGGCAGCACAUAUACUAAAAAUGGAAUGAUACAGAGAUUAUCAUGGCCCCUGUGCAAGGAUGACACGUUCCAUAUUACAAAAAAAAAGUUUAAU